This 488-nucleotide ribosomal RNA is filed under the name uncultured bacterium. Its description in RNAcentral is "bacterial SSU rRNA". It matches the Rfam family "Bacterial small subunit ribosomal RNA", at positions 501 to 987 of the family's 1533-position model. The record is from RNAcentral.
CUACGUGCCAGCAGCCGCGGUAAUACGUAGGUCCCGAGCGUUGUCCGGAUUUAUUGGGCGUAAAGCGAGCGCAGGCGGUUUGAUAAGUCUGAAGUUAAAGGCUGUGGCUCAACCAUAGUUCGCUUUGGAAACUGUCAAACUUGAGUGCAGUAGGGGAGACUGGAAUUCCUGGUGUAGCGGUGGAAUGCGCAGAUAUCAGGAGGAACACCGAUGGCGAAGGCAGGUCUCUGGGCUGUAACUGACGCUGAGAAGCGAAAGCAUGGGGAGCGAACAGGAUUAGAUACCCUGGUAGUCCAUGCCGUAAACGUUGGGCACUAGGUGUGGGGGACAUUCCACGUUUUCCGCGCCGUAGCUAACGCAUUAAGUGCCCCGCCUGGGGAGUACGGCCGCAAGGCUAAAACUCAAAGAAAUUGACGGGGGCCCGCACAAGCGGCGGAGCAUGCGGAUUAAUUCGAUGCAACGCGAAGAACCUUACCAAGGCUUGACAU